RNAcentral lists this ribosomal RNA (454 nucleotides) under uncultured archaeon. Its description in RNAcentral is "bacterial SSU rRNA". It matches the Rfam family "Archaeal small subunit ribosomal RNA", at positions 1 to 460 of the family's 1478-position model. The record is from RNAcentral.
UUCCGGUUGAUCCUGCCGGACCUGACUGCUAUCGGAUUGAUACUAAGCCAUGCGAGUCUUUGUAGCAAUACAAGGCAGACGGCUCAGUAACACGUAGUCAAUCUACCCUAUGGACGGGGAUAACCUCGGGAGACUGAGAAUAAUACCCGAUAGAUCAUUAUGCCUGGAAUGGUUUAUGGUUCAAAUGAUUUUUCGCCAUAGGAUGGGACUGCGGUCUAUCAGCUUGUUGGUGAAGUAAUGGCCCACCAAGGCUAUAACAGAUACGGGCUCUGAGAGGAGAAGCCCGGAGAUGGGUACUGAGACACGGACCCAGGUCCUAUGGGGCGCAGCAGGCGAGAAAACUCUGCAAUGUGCGAAAGCACGACAAGGCUAACCCGAGUGUUUUCUGNUNAAGAAAUCUUUUGUCAGUCCUAAAAACACUGGACGAAUAAGGGGUGGGCAAGUUCUGGUGUCA